Molecule: unclassified non-coding RNA, 992 nt
Filed under: Caenorhabditis elegans
Lineage: Eukaryota; Metazoa; Nematoda; Chromadorea; Rhabditida; Rhabditidae
Description: Non-coding transcript of protein-coding gene tag-115
Source: RNAcentral
AUGGCCUCGUGUGAAUCAAUGUGCCCAGUCGCUGAAAUAAAUUUUCGAAGCCGGAAUCAUCUGAUAGAUCAAUUAGAAGCUACUGCAUCGACUAGUUCAGGACCCCGGUCAAAAUACGUUGCAGAUCCGACGAAAAUGGUCAAAGAGUACUCACGAUCAGCUGCUGACACCCAUAAAUACAACAAACCGGAACUAUUAAGGCCUUUUCCCGUUCUACAACACACAAUAGACUAUCUUCUGGAUUUGUACAGUCCGUUUAAAGGCGGUCAGCGAUCACUUCCAAACAAUUCGCAUCGAUUUUUUCGUUUGUUUCGGAUCGUCUACGAUCAAUUCGACAGGAUAUGAUUAUGCAAAACUUGCGUGGAGAUUUCACUGUAAUUCUUAUUGAGAAAAUGCUUCCAUUCUACAUAGAAACUGACGGAGCUUGCAAGAUGGCAAAAUGUCAGAGUUAUGACCCGAAAUUGCACGAUUUUCAGUUGGAAGAGUGCUUUGGAAGGUGGUUUGAAGAAGUCUCGAAUUCCACUGAUAUUAUCCCGAAUCCCUUGAUAUCGGCCUGCUUCUUCUUCAGACAAUUACAUCGAAAAUCAUCAAUUCUUCAUGAUCUCUACCUAUUUCGUCGGAAACUACCACACGAAUCAUUUAAUCUCAUUCAAAGCAUAAUAUCAUCAUUUUAUUCCUCAAAUUAUCGCCGAUUUUUCGAUAUUUUCCAACAACUCGAUCCACUUCUCAAGCACUCACUCUCGGAUUGUGUCUCAAUUCUUCGUCAAUCAGCGAUGAAAAAUAUAUCCGUGGCAUUCAAGACUCCUGUCGCUAGGCUUCCAUCUCAAUUGCUAUCCGAUUGGCUUGGAUUUCCAGCGAAUCUCGAAUUUUUCGACGAUUUUCUUCGUUUGUACAGUGUGAUUCCUGAUGAGCAAGGAAAUAUUCUGAUUUCUGCUCUACGACCACCCGUGGAAAUUUCGUAUCAAGAUUUUUCUUCGAGACAAUAUGAAUAA